Molecule: ribosomal RNA, 331 nt
Filed under: uncultured eukaryote
Lineage: Eukaryota
Description: partial 18S ribosomal RNA
Rfam family: Eukaryotic small subunit ribosomal RNA
Source: RNAcentral
CCCUUAGAUGUUCUGGGCCGCACGCGCGCUACACUGACGAAGUCAGCGAGCAUGUCCUACGCCGACAGGUGCGGGGAAUCUUGUCAAACUUCGUCGUGAUGGGGAUUGAUUAUUGAAAUUCUUGAUCAUCAACGAGGAAUUCCUAGUAAGCGCAAGUCAGCAGCUUGCGUUGAUUACGUCCCUGCCCUUUGUACACACCGCCCGUCGCUACUACCGAUUGAAUGGUUUAGUGAGAUCUUCGGAUUGGCGCCACUGCGGCUCAGCAAUGGGCUCGGUGGAUGCCGAAAAGUUGAUCAAACUUGAUCAUUUAGAGGAAGUAAAAGUCGUAACG